RNAcentral lists this unclassified non-coding RNA (329 nucleotides) under soil metagenome. Its description in RNAcentral is "partial contains 5.8S ribosomal RNA, internal transcribed spacer 2, and large subunit ribosomal RNA". The stretch from base 1 to 120 matches the Rfam family "5.8S ribosomal RNA", at positions 35 to 154 of the family's 154-position model. The record is from RNAcentral.
GAUGAAGAACGUAGCGAAAUGCGAUAAGUAAUGUGAAUUGCAGAAUUCAGUGAAUCAUCGAAUCUUUAAACGCACAUUGCGCCCCUUGGUAUUCCGAGGGGCAUGCCUGUUCGAGCGUCAUUAUAACCCCUCAAGCUCAGCUUGGUGUUGGGGCCUGCUGCACUGGCAGCCCUUAAAAUCAGUGGCGGCGCCAUCUGGCUCUAAGCGUAGUAAUUCUUCUCGCUAUGGAGUCCUGGUGGAUGCUUGCCAUCAACCCCCAAUUUUUCUAUGGUUGACCUCGGAUCAGGUAGGGAUACCCGCUGAACUUAAGCAUAUCAAUAAGCGGAGGA